GGAGGAAAAGAAACCAACAGGGAUUGCUCUAGUAACGGCGAGUGAAGCAGCAAUAGCUCAAAUUUGAAAUCUGGCGUCUUCGACGUCCGAGUUGUAAUUUGUAGAGGAUGCUUCUGAGUAACCACCGACCUAAGUUCCUUGGAACAGGACGUCAUAGAGGGUGAGAAUCCCGUAUGCGGUCGGAAAGGUGCUCUAUACGUAGCUCCUUCGACGAGUCGAGUUGUUUGGGAAUGCAGCUCUAAAUGGGAGGUAAAUUUCUUCUAAAGCUAAAUAUUGGCCAGAGACCGAUAGCGCACAAGUAGAGUGAUCGAAAGAUGAAAAGCACUUUGGAAAGAGAGUUAAAAAGCACGUGAAAUUGUUAAAAGGGAAGGGAUUGCAACCAGACUUGCUCGCGGUGUUCCGCCGGUCUUCUGACCGGUCUACUCGCCGCGUUGCAGGCCAGCAUCGUCUGGUGCCGCUGGAUAAGACUUGAGGAAUGUAGCUCCCUCGGGAGUGUUAUAGCCUCUUGUGAUGCAGCGAGCGCCGGGCGAGGUCCGCGCU
Molecule: ribosomal RNA, 540 nt
Filed under: Cladosporium sp. PQA07
Lineage: Eukaryota; Fungi; Ascomycota; Dothideomycetes; Cladosporiales; Cladosporiaceae
Description: eukaryotic LSU rRNA
Rfam family: Eukaryotic large subunit ribosomal RNA
Source: RNAcentral